RNAcentral lists this unclassified non-coding RNA (231 nucleotides) under Hevea brasiliensis (rubber tree). The record is from RNAcentral. Lineage: Eukaryota; Viridiplantae; Streptophyta; Magnoliopsida; Malpighiales; Euphorbiaceae.
UGUAAACCAGACCCAGCUCCUCUCCUGCAUAUCUGUUCAACUUGGGAAUUUCAGCCUAAUGAAGUCAUGAUGGUUGGUGAUAGCCUUAAAGAUGAUGUUGCUUGUGGGAAACGAGCUGGAGCAUUCACAUGCUUACUUGAUGAAAAAGAGAGAUACGGUUCUGCUGAUUUCACCAGCUUGGAUGUAGAACCAGAUUUCAAGGUGUCUUCCCUGUCUGAAGUUCAUUCUCUA